RNA transcript from Carya illinoinensis, 2407 nucleotides. It is a transcript of the gene named GPI mannosyltransferase 2-like, with no coding region annotated. NCBI's taxonomy places the organism in Eukaryota, Viridiplantae, Streptophyta, Magnoliopsida, Fagales, Juglandaceae. The record is from RefSeq and is a predicted model, not a curated record. The transcript has 9 exons.
UCCAAGAGGGACUCGAGGGAGGCUGUCCGUUGGUCUUCCAUGACUCUCAAGGUGGUGGCUACUGAUAGACCUAGAGGCCAUAGUCAUACUCCCAGUUCUAAUCGUUCAGCAACGGACCUCCGCCCCCCCAUGACGAUCACCCCCACAUUCGGCUCUAAGCGCCACCAAUCACUGGUCCUUAGAUCGUCGAUCCUCUCCCGACUUCUCCUUUUAGCUCUCACCAUCGUCUGGCGCACACUCCUCACCCCCCACGACACCUCCGCCCCACUCAACCCUUCCUGCCUAUCCCACCACCACGAUCCCCCACCGAUUCUCUUUCCCUCUGUGGCCUCCGCCGUCGAACGCGGCGUCGUGUGGGACUCCGUCUACUUCCUCCGCAUCGCCCACUGCGGCUACGAGUACGAGCAGUCCUACGCCUUCCUCCCUCUCCUCCCCCUCACAAUUUCCUUCCUCUCUCGCACGGUAUUUGCGCCAUUGGUACCGUUAAUCGGAUAUAGAGCGGUGCUGGGGCUGUCUGGCUAUGUGAUCAAUAACCUCACGUUUGUCUUCGCGGCGAUAUACUUUUACAAGCUUUCAGUUAUUAUUUUGAAGGAUUCUGACUCCGCAUUGCGGGCUUCCAUCUUGUUUUGCUUCAAUCCAGCAUCGGUAUUUUAUUCGGCGAUAUAUUCAGAGAGUCUGUAUGCCUUGUUUUCUAUUGGAGGGAUAUACCACCUGGUCACAGGUGGAAAUAGUAUUGCUGUUCUUCUGCUUGCUCUCUCUACUUGUGCCAGGUCUAACGGAGUGCUUAACGCUGGCUAUUUUUGUUUUCAGACGCUACAUCAAGCUUAUGAUGCUGUAUUUGUCAAAAGACAUGCUUAUUUGGCGGUACAGGUCCUUAUUUCUGGUGCUUUGCACUGCAUAUGUAUUUUCACUCCAUUUAUUGCGUUUCAAGCAUAUGGAUACUACAAUAUAUGUCUAGGACAUUCCAUAGAUGAAAUGAGGCCCUGGUGCAAAGCAAGACUACCUCUUCUGUACAACUAUAUUCAAAGUCAUUAUUGGGGGGUAGGUUUCUUGAGAUAUUUUCAGCUGAAACGGUUGCCAAACUUCUUACUGGCAUCUCCUAUAUUGUCUUUGGCACUUUGUUCUAUUGUCUAUUAUGCAAAGUCAAGGCCUGAAAUUUUUUUCUUACUGGGCCUUCUAGCUUCUGUUGAGGAAAAGAAUUCUUCAGCUGUGCUUUUCUCUCUGGAGACAGUUCAAAGAUCAAGUAUUGCCCGCUUUCCAGGGCGUCACAAUCUCAGACAGAGGAAGCAUAUGACUAGAGGGGAUCCUGUUGCUCUCCCACUGGAAAAUGAUUCAUUAGCAAAGCUGGGAUACUUGACUGUCUCUUGUCUCCCAUUUAUUCUGCAAUUGGCAUUUAUGGCAGCCACAGCAUUUUUUGUCAUGCAUGUGCAGGUGGCUACACGCUUUUUGUCUGCCAGCCCUCCCCUUUAUUGGUUUGCCUCAAAUCUAAUGGUACAACGUAAGAGAUGGGCAUAUCUGAUUUGGGCAUACUCUGCAGCCUACAUACUUCUUGGCAGUUUGCUAUUUUCGAACUUUUAUCCUUUCACAUGAUAAGAUCGGUAGUGGCCCUCUUACCUGCUGGUUAAGGCUGGUCUAAAUGCACUUGGGUUUGCAUCAUUUACCUCAGCUUGGAUUGAUUUCAUAUGCAGAACGAUAAGAUCUAAAAUCAACUUCUUGUCUUAGCGCUAUAUUUUUUUACAGGAUAGAGAAGCUGUUCAUUCCUGUAGGUUUGAGAUGAAGCUUUUGUUGCAGCAUUAGACUGAGAAAAUGUAUUUCUAUACCAUAACUCUGGGGGUGCAGGCAUUCUACAGCAGCAGCAGCAGGCAUAGACCCAAAAAGCAGUGGUACAAGAUUGGGAAUUCUCGACUAUUUCUAGCCCACGUCUAACUCCACAGUUCCACUUCGGGUCCAGUUAUUGCUUGAUCCUGGUUUGGCUUUGUUCAUGCAAAUUCGUUGCUACCUCUCUCUCUCUCUCUCAAUUUUCCACUGAUUUUUGUUAAGGCUGCUGCAUGCUCGUGAUACAUACAUACAUGUAAACAACUGAUCAUGAGUUGCUGGAAAUUUUGUCGAGAUGUUCCCGUGUAGUCUCUCUCUCUUAGAACUUAAUGCAGUCGAAGAUAAUUAUAACACAGCCAAUAUUCGAAUUACUUUACUUUGGGUGGGUCUGCCUUAAAUAAAUAUCAAAUAUAGUCGGAAAUUUUGUUGAAGGUUGAUCGCAGGCUCUAGCGUCAAAGUGUGUAUAGAUCCAGCUGCCACUAGUCUUCUGGUUUAAUCAUGCGGAAAUUAUGUGUAUGCCCAAUAAAUAUUACGAACAAAUUGUCACGACUCAUCAAUAUGUAUUCGACAGGUAAUUUCCUGCUUUUUUUUA